RNAcentral lists this long non-coding RNA (4801 nucleotides) under Marmota monax (woodchuck). Lineage: Eukaryota; Metazoa; Chordata; Mammalia; Rodentia; Sciuridae. The record is from RNAcentral.
GGACAGACACGGAAGGAGAAAUCUCUGAGAAGCUAGACAUAGAUACAGGGCUGGGAAGGGAGUAGAAAGGAGAGAGGGAGGGAUUUUGUGUAGGCCCUGGACCUGGCCUGAAGCAAGAUCAGGGCCAGUGCGCCCUGCCUGGCCUUCUGCCCACAGUCUGCAGAGCUCUGGCCUGUCCCAGUGUGCUGCCCAGCCCUGCUCUGUGUGCUGACUAAUUCUUAACUCAGACACUGAAGGGCGGGCAGCUGGAAGGGCUCAUCUCCCCCCAGAGGGCCUCAGCUUCCUCCAACAAAGAGAAUAAUAAGCAUUCUACAAGGGCUAAGAACUCAACUGCAUCUAAACGUUUUAAUCUGCCUGAGACUCCUAAACUCUCUCUCCUCGGAAACACAGCGGGUCAGUUCUUCAAGCUGAGCUGAGGGAGGAAAAGGUUUGCUCUUCCCAGAAACCCAUCUGCAGUGCUCUGGGGCUGAAGAGGGUGUGACCAUCACUCCUGUGCCAAGCUUUGCAGGUUGGAAUGAAGCAAGUGUGUGUGUGUGUGUGUGUGUGUGUGUGUGUGUGUGUGUGAGAGAGAGAGAGAGAGAGAGAGAGAGAGAGAGAGAGAGAGAGAGAGAGAGAGAGAUCCCAGGAGACCUUCCAGAGGGGAGUGCAGGAGGUUUCCACUCUGUUUCCUCAGGGCCCAGGCUGCUGUAUGUCUAAUUAAAGACAACAUCAUCAUUACCCACAACAGCAGCCAUUGAGUUCUCGGCUUCUGUUUCCUGCUAGUGGAAGUCCUCAACCUAACACCUUCCACCGCUCUCCUCUGGCUCCUUUUCCAGUUCCCAGAACCGACACCUCCACCACUCACUGCUAACUCCAGACCUCCAGCCCCUAGGGCCACAUCUUUAACUUUAGUUCCCCGAGUGCAGUUAGGCUACUUUUGCCUGAAUGAAAAUGGUCAAUGCUUCCCUGUAUCCACCCACCAGAUAGAAACAAAUAAAAUCACGACUUCAUUUUGGAUCUUUCUUCUCCUCCCACAUGUGCAUGAUGAACUCAGCCAUUCCUUCCUUCAGAACGUCAUUGUUCUGCCCUUCUGGUCCAUUUCCAUCUUAGCUCUCAACUUGGUUAUUUUUCAGUGCAUUCAUUUGGCAAAUGUUUAUCAAACAUCUCUUGGUGGGUCGAGCAUUGUACUAAAUAAAGGGAGCGAAUGCUAAUUCCAAAUUCUAACUUGGUAGGAGUUGUUCACAGCUUAAUAGAGAGUGACACAUAUCUAUGGCCUUCUCAUGUGGCAGAAAAGUCUUUCCCUCUGUGUUCCUGGCCCUGGAGAACGUGCCAGUUCAGUUCUUCUGAUCUUCCAAUAGGUUAUCAGAACCCGAUUUAUCCCCAAGGGCCUGUGUGUCUUAGCAGUGCCCUAUUUCAUAAUUCUUACAUCUCCCCCUCUAACUUUGUCACUUUAGUUCCACUUAUUUUUUCUCUUUUUCUUUUCUUUUUCUUUUUUUUCCUUCUGAGAUGGAGGUCUUAUUAUAUGUCCCAGGCAGCCUCAAACUCCCAGGUUCAAAUGAUCCUCCUACCUCAAUUUCCCAAGUAGCUGGGACUUAUAGUUAUGUUGGUAUUGUUGGCUCUGGUGCCAUUUCUUAAAGAAAUUUAGAAUGUUAUUAAGAAGAAUACUUCCAAGUCCCCUUCCUGCAAAUAUGUUUGCUAGCAGAGUGACCCCACUGUGUUGAGAGCCAAUCGUGGGCUAUCAUUCAUUCAUGUUAGGCAAGUGGACUACAUUGGCAUCGCAGCCUAGUGAAUAGGAGAAUCUGGUGUCUGGGAACUUCCAGUGGACAUUUCCUCUGGCUGACUGCCCAGACACAUUGUGAGCCCUAUUCAAGCUCUGCCCCAGGUCCCACACAGCACCAGAGAUGGGGUGACCUGCUGUAGCACACAGUCCUUCUGAGAUGGGUGUGGCCUACCAAGAUGCCAAUCAACCUGCUGACUGCAAGACAUCACAAAGCAAGACUCCACCCCUGAAACCUUAUCCCUGCCUUUGAUGUACCCCUUAAAUAACCACAGGAGCCAUUUUCUAAUUGUCUAGCUCCAGCUCCUGUGUGGACAGGCUCCAUCUUUUGAAACUCUUUCCAACUUUGUCUUUUGUUCUUCACUAAUUAUUCUUUUUUAAAUUUUUUAAAAAUUUUCAUGGAGAAUUUUACUUUAAAAAUUUUAUUUAAUUAGGUAUAUGUGACAGCAGAAUGCAUUUUGAUUCAUUGUACACAAAUGCAGCACAACUUUACAUUUCUAUGGUUGUACACAAUGUAGCGUCGCACCAUAUGUGCAGUCAUACCUAGGGUAAUGAUGUCUAUCUUAUUCCACCAUUUUUCCUACCCCCAUGCUCCCUCCCCUUUGCCCCAUUGAAGUUCCUCCAUUUUUCCCACGUCCACCCCAUUAUGGAUCAGCAACCACUCAUCAGAGAGAACAUUCAGCCUUUGAUUUUUUGGAAUUGGCUUACUUCACUUAGCAUGAUAUUCUCUAACUCCAUCCAUUUCCUUGCAAAUGCCAUAAUUUUAUUCUCUUUUAUUGCUGAGUAAUAUUCCAUUGUGUAUAUAUACCACAGUUUCUUUAUUCAUUCAUCUAUUGAAGGGCAUCUAGGUUGGUUCCACAGGGUAGCUAUUGUGAAUUGAGCAGCUAUAAACAUUGAUGUGGCUGCAUUACUAUAGUAUGCUGAUUUUAAAUCCUUUGGGUAUAGGCUGAGGAGUGGGAUAGUUGAGUCAAAUGGUGGUUCUAUUCUACAUUUUUUAAGGAAUCUCCAUACUGCUUUCCAGAAUGGUUGCACCAAUUUACAGUCCCACCAGCAAUAAAUGAGUGUGCCUUUCCCCCCACAUCCUCACAAACAUUUAUUGUUUCUGUAUUCUUUUAUUUUAAAAUAUUUUAUUAGUUGUUGGUGGACCUUUAUUUAUUUUUAUGUGGUACUGAGAAUCGAACCCAGUGCCUCACAUGCUAGGCAAGUGCUCUACCACUGUGCCACAACUUCAGCCCUGUUGUCUGUAUUCUUGAUAACUGCCAUUCUGACUGGUGUGAGAUGAAAUCUUAGAGUAGGUUUGAUGUUGAACAUUUUUCAUAUACAUGUUGAUUGAUUGCAUAUCUUCUUCUGAAAAGUGUCUGUUCAGCUCCUUAGCCCAUUUAUUGAUUGGGUUGUUUGUUUUGGUGUUAAGUUUUUUUUAGUUCUUUAUAUAUCCUGGAGAUUAGUUCUCUAUCUGAUGUGCGUGUGGCAAAAAUUUGCUCCCAAAAUGUAGGCUCUCUCUUCAUCUCAUUGAUUCUUUUGCUGAAAAGAAACUUUUUGGUUGAGUCCAUCACAUUUAUUAAUUCUUGAUUUUAUUUCUUGUACUUUAGGAGUCUUGUUAAGGAAGUUGGGGCCUAAUCUGAUGUCAUGAAGAUUUGGGCCUACUUUUUCCUCUAUUAGGCACAGGGUCUCUGAUUCAAUUCCUAUACAGAUUCAAUGCAAUUCCAAUUAAAAUCCCAUUGUCAUUUCUUACAGAAAUAGAAAAGCAAUCAUGAAAUUCAUUUGGAAAAAAUAAGAGACCCAGAAUAGCCAAAGCAAUCCUUAUCAAGAAGAAUGAAACAGGAGGCAUCACAAUACCAGACCUUAAAGUAACUACAAAGCUAAAGUAGCAAAACAGUAUGGUAUUGGCACCAGAAUAGACAUGUAGACUAAUGGUACAGAAUAGAAGAUAUAUAGAGAAGCCCACAUAAAUACAAUUAUCUCAUACUAGACAAAGACACCAAAAACAUACAUUGGAGAAAAGAUAGCAUCUUCAACUAAUGGUGCUGGGAGAACUGGAAAUCCAUAUGCAGCAAAAUGAAAACAAACCCCUACCUCUCACCAUGCACAAAAUUUAACUUCACUAAUUAUUGUAGACUUUAAUACCUCUCUAGAGGUAUUUUUAGACUUUGAUACUUCUCACCAUGCACAAAAUUUAACUUUACUAAUUAUUCUAGACUUUAAUUUCUUAGGUGGCUUAUAUCCCCCUGAGCAGGAAGAAGAACCCCCUAAUGAGGUGCUGGAUGCCUCCCCAUAGUAGGGCUCUCAAAGCGUGAGGGAUGUCAAGACUGGAGGGGACAGACAUGCUAACUGCCAGGCCUGUAGGUUCUCUAAGCUCAGUACUUGCAUCAAAUCAGGCUUAGGAUGGGUUGUUUCAGAAAGCACAGAUAUCAGUAACUUACUGUUCCCCCAAAGCUCCUGUGUUCAUUCAGGAAUGUGAGGAGGUGGAAUACAAGAGCUAUAAUCUAAUCAGUCCAUCCUAGUUAGAAUGGACUAACUGGAUGGUAACUGUAGGCAGGUGGGGUGGGGCUGGAGGAGGUGGGCCACGGGAACCUGCCCUGGAAGGGUGAAUCUUCCCUAUAGCCCCUCUCCUUGCCUUGUCUGCUUCCUGGCUGCCCUGAGAUGAGCAGCUUCCCUCCACUGUAGUCUUUCCACCAUGAUGGAGUUGGCUGACCAUGGACUGAACCUCUGAAAUUGUGAGCCCUCAAUAAACGUUUUCUCCUAUAAUUUGAUCUUGUUGGGUAUUUUGGUCACAGUGACAAAGCUGAUUAGCACACCUAUAAACUACAUCUUUGAACUAUUUAUCCUUAAUAUAAUAAGGAACCCUGGGGCAAAUUUAUUCUAUAUUUCACUUAAGACAGUUUGUCACUUACAAUUCAAAGGACCCACACUAAUAGCAAUAAAUUACCUUGAACAUUUGUAUAUUACUUUACAGCCUAUUGUUUAACCCUUACAAUGUUUUCCUAGGGUAGGCAACAUAAUUGUACCCUUUAUAAAACAAGAAAGCUCAGAGAAAUAGAGGCUGCC